Molecule: non-coding RNA, 3181 nt
Organism: Coturnix japonica (Japanese quail)
Lineage: Eukaryota; Metazoa; Chordata; Aves; Galliformes; Phasianidae
Source: RefSeq, a predicted model, not a curated record
CCGACAGCCGCACGAGGAGGGACCGGCCCCGUCGGCAGCUUCGGGCGCAGCCGCCUUCAAACUUUCAGCCCGCACCCGGCGGAGCCGCGCUCGACAUCGAUGGUGGAGGCGAUUGUGGAGUUCGACUACAAAGCUCAACAUGAUGAUGAGCUGACAAUCACUGUAGGUGACAUAAUCACCAAUAUCAAGAAAGAUGAUGGAGGCUGGUGGGAAGGACAGCUCAAAGGCAGAAGAGGUUUGUUCCCUGACAACUUUGUAAGAGAAAUAAAGAAGGACAUGAAGAAGGAAAAUAUUGCCAACAAACCACCAGAGAAACCUAUAAAUGAAAUUUGCAAUGGAAGCUCUUUACUGUUGUCUGAGACAAUUAUUAGAACCAACAGAAAAGGAGAGAGGAACAGACGAAGAAGAUGUCAGGUGGCUUUCAGUUAUUUGCCUCAAAAUGAGGAUGAACUGGAAUUAAAAGUUGGUGACAUCAUUGAAGUUGUGGGAGAGGUAGAAGAAGGCUGGUGGGAAGGUAUCCUUAAUGGAAAGACGGGCAUGUUUCCUUCCAACUUCAUAAAGGAACUGUCUGAUUCUGAUGAUGCUGGAAUAUCACAGGAAGAGCAAGUAAAGCCAAGAAAGUCUGCCUUUGAAGGGACAAUUCUGUACAGAGUGGCACCGGCAAAGAUUGACAGCUACAGACGCUAUAACAGUCUGAAAGAUACUACAGGCUCUGAGAGUGAUGGUGGUGACUCUGGCAGCACAAAAUCAGAAGGAGCCAAUGGAGGCACGACAAUCCAACCCAAAAAGGUCAAGGGUGUUGGCUUUGGAGAUAUCUUCAAAGACAAACCUAUAAAGCUACGGCCAAGGUCAAUAGAAGUUGAAACGGACUUUCUCCCAGUAGAUAAGAGUGUUGGGAAGAAAGUACCUCCAGCCACAGCAAGUCAGGAGCCAACAAAAACAGAAGUGGACAGCAGAACAAAAACCAAGGAGUAUUGCAAAGUGAUAUUUCCAUAUGAAGCACAGAAUGAUGAUGAACUCACAAUCCGAGAAGGUGAUGUCGUCACACUUAUCAGUAAGGACUGUAUUGAUGUGGGUUGGUGGGAAGGAGAACUGAAUGGCCGACGAGGAGUGUUUCCAGAUAACUUUGUCAAGCUUCUUCCUUCCGAUUUUGAAAAAGAGAGACCGAAGAAACCACCACCUCCAUCAGCUCCUGUUGUCAAGCAAGGAUUAGGUACCACAGAUCGAAAACAAGAAGUCAAAAAGGUGCCUCCUGAAAGGCCAGAGUGUCUCCCUAAUCGGACAGAAGAAAAAGAAAGAUCAGAGAGAGAGCAAAAACAGUUGGACUUGCAGAAGCCUUCAGUUCCUGCAAUACCUCCGAAGAAACCACGGCCACCCAAAGCAAACCCUGUGAACAGACCUGGUACCUUGCCUCCAAGAAGGCCAGAAAGACCAGUUGUGCCUGCGACUCAUGCAAGGAGUGAUAGUCCAAAAGUGGAAUUAGUGGGGAGUUCGGUGUCCAGCACACUGGAGAAAGACUCCUCCGAAAGAAGCAAUGACAUCGACUUGGAAGGUUUUGACUCUGUAGUACCAAUUGCUGAGAAGCUUAAUCAUCCAACUACAACCAGACCAAAAGCUACUGGCAGGCGACCGCCCUCCCAGUCUUUCACAUCUUCAUCCCUUUCAAGCCCAGAUUUCUUUGACUCGCCAAGUCCUGAAGAAGAGAAAGAAGAUCAUGUUUCCAUUACACACAAAACUGUUGAAGUGUCAAAGAAAUCAAGAACUGUUACAAUAUCACAAGUAUUUGAUAAUAAAACUUCGUUGCCUCCAAAACCAGGCGGUUUGGCUAGUGGCGGUAAUGUACAACCAUCUCUAUCCCCUUCACCAUCACCUGGAUUUCAUUCAAUUGCUAUGGGAACAACAGGCCACAGGUCAAAUUCCCCAUCCCUACUUGGUGCAGAAGGAAAGCCAAAGACUGAACACUUGAGCCAAGGUCAGACUGCUCUGGAGGAGCUGAGAACACAAGUUAAGGAGCUAAGAACUAUCAUUGAAGCGAUGAAAGACCAGCAAAAGUAAAAAAGAGAUUAAACAGUUGCUGUCUGAAUUGGAUGAAGAAAAGAAGAUCCGUCUACGAUUGCAGAUGGAAGUUAAUGACAUAAAGAAAGCUCUUCAAUCAAAGUGAAUACUUGAUAGAUGGAAUGUUGCAUUAUUCUACAUGACUGAGACUCAAAUUUAUGCCCCAGCCAAAAUAACUUUGUGCCAAAUGAUUUAAGAAUUGCCUCAGCAUCCCUUUAUCAAAGGAUUAGCACAACCGUUUUUGAUAGCACAACAAAAACACCAACAGUGAGGAAAAAUCUUCCACGUGAAGCGGUGCCGCGUGGCACCGGUUGUGACUGAAAUGGAUCUUCUUGUGCUAAAGGCUCUCUACUUCAAGAUCAUAGGUGAAAUGAAAACUCAGGCAGUUUAGUCCAUAGUGGUACUAUUUUGAUGAUAUUUUUCCAUAAAUAAAGUGUAUUUCAGAUUAUCUGUUUACAAGCUUUAUGAUUUUGAUUUUUGUUUUUUAAUUGUCUUUUGUCACAGAUUUUAAAAUGUUUGUACUGCAUAUAGCCAGGAAUGAAUGUUAACGUUGGGGCUGGAGGGAUUAUUUUUGCUUCGAGAUAGAACAGCCUACUUCUUGUUACGGUUUUAAGUUGUUAAAUAUGCAAUUUCAUGUCCCCCUACUCCCUCCAAUGAAACAUAACAUUGUGUACAGUAAUGUAUUUAGGAGAAGAAAACCAACAGAAUAAGAAUCUGGUCUUUGCAAUGAUUUGUGCCUUUCUUUGCCACACACCGACGGGAGCUGGUUGCAGGUCAGGUCUCCGUCACGUAGCUACCCCCAUCUCCCGUCACCGGUGUCCGGUAGAGGUCACACUCGCCGGGUCCAGCUGGCUGCUGCACACAGCCGGGUCCCUGCCAAGAGGCGGGACAGUGGCACAGUUGAGAGCAUCUCUGUCUUCAUCAGCUGUGGCUUUUUAGCUUUCCCAUUUUCAGUAGCCUCUCCUUUGGUUUUGAAUGUUUAUCUCCGCUUGGUUUCCAGUAGAUGAUUUCAGCGCCAGCCUCCGUCCCCAAUUUUGCACAGAGUGAACAGAAUAUGCAUUAUUAAAGCAAAAAUAAAUAAAAGUAAACUAUAAAACAUGAAUAAAAAGUUGUAUUAUUUCCUGCA